CAGACAAUAUUGACAUUACUAAUUUCGCGAGCACUGGGGAAUAAAUUAAAAAAUACAAAAUUAAUCCUGGGUACACAAUACUUGAUUAUCGAUAUAUUUACUGGAAUGCAGCAUAAGUUCAGCGAUACUGAGUACACAGGUCAUUGCCAUCGUGAGAAAUCCGCAGAGUCUACGACCCCAUCGGUCGAGCAACAGGGCGAGUAAUAACCCAGCUGGAAGUUCUGUGGCACAGGCGAUCGAGAACGACACGAACACCGAGCUCUGGAUAAGUUUUAAUGAAUACACGUGACCGUCGAACGAGAUCAGGGUGAAACACCUACAAGAUUGUAUCGGUUAUUUAUGAAGGUUUUCUCGCAACAUGAACUCGUAUCUUAUACUUGCCAGAAUGCAACUAGAAGAAUAGUGUUUCUCGCCAACCGUGGCGUUUUGAACAGAUCGAGCAGCGUCGCUGAUUCUUGAAUUUUGUCCGGUGCCUCCAUGUUACUCUGCAAGAAUUUAUUUCGAGAAUAAUUAACGAAAGAUAUAAUACGAGUCGUGCCUUUAGCCCUUACACAGUUCAAAAUUCAUAACACACUGAAAAGAAAUUUUAUUUUCAUUUUAUUCGUCAUUAAUAGAUAGCACGAACAGUGGCACUUUGCAUUCUGUUUUAUGGAAUUAGUCGGCAUGGCUUUUGAUAUCGAGAUUUAUUAAUAUAAUGGGUGGUUGGUUGAUUAAAUACUUUUCUGAUCCGAAAUACAGUCGGGAACAAAACUAAGUGGAUUAGUGGAGAAAAUGUAAAAAUUCAUUUCAAUCAUUUGCUGAACUAUCUGCAUAUUAUUAGAAGGAAAUAUAAUAAAUAAAACUCAAGUAUAUGAGGCUGAUACUAAUUUGAUUAUACUUUCUUCACAUCUAUUUCCAUUAACUAUAGCAGCUUAUUUUUAUCCCCGAUUGUACUUGUAAAUUGUAAAUAUUUUAUAAUUUCUAUAUAAAUUCCCAGAUUUACUUCAAAUUUUGUACGAGAUCGAUAUAAUACCACAAUGGAAUCGCGACAGUCAAGUUUCAUUUCAUAUUUCAUUUUUCAUCGCGUUUCAUUUUUAAAACCUGUCUAUGCAUGUUAAAAUACAUUCGCGAGUCUGUGUGUUUUCGACGUGAAUCAAAUAUAUCUGUCAGCACAGAUUCAAGCACUGUACCGUAUGAUUUCGCGUAAGCUUUCUAGAAUUCUAUUUGAUCGAACUUACGACGAAUAUAUUGCAAAUACGCGAGUCUGGAUUUCUGCGAUUGAUCCUAGCUGUUCUCCGUAGUUUCUCAACAACCUUGUCCAUCAUCCCGUUGGAAACGUACCAGCUUGAACAGAGCAAAUACGAGUGAUAUGGAUCGAUAAGUAAAUUUGCAUAAAUCUCAAAGCGCAAGUUGAGAAUUCGAAUAAUCGAACGAUUAGGAGUUUACUUACCGGGCGCUCUCGGGAAGAAUCCACGGUGUGAUAGCGACAGAUAACAGCGGUAUGGCAGUAACUAAUAGAACAUGGAAGAUUUAUCGAGUGAAACCGGUUAUUAUUAAUAUGGAGCAAUUGAUGACGAGCCGAAUGAACGAUACCAUCAACAUAAUUGUAGGAUAAUUGUAAGAUUAUAAAUAUAAUUCCGAUUUUAAAUUAA
Long non-coding RNA from Bombus huntii, 1631 nucleotides. RefSeq lists it as uncharacterized. Lineage: Eukaryota; Metazoa; Arthropoda; Insecta; Hymenoptera; Apidae. The record is from RefSeq and is a predicted model, not a curated record. The transcript is spliced from 3 exons.